UGGGGAAUUUUGCACAAUGGGGGAAACCCUGAUGCAGCGACGCCGCGUGAUUUAGAAGGCCUUCGGGUUGUAAAAAUCUUUUCUAUGGGAAGAAAAUGACAGUACCAUAGGAAUAAGGACCGGCUAAUUACGUGCCAGCAGCCGCGGUAAUACGUAAGGUCCGAGCGUUGUCCGGAAUCAUUGGGCGUAAAGGGUACGUAGGCGGGUAAGCAAGUUAGAAGUGAAAUCCUAUAGCUCAACUAUAGUAAGCUUUUAAAACUGCUCAUCUUGAGGUAUGGAAGGGAAAGUGGAAUUCCUAGUGUAGCGGUGAAAUGCGAAGAUAUUAGGAGGAGUACCGGUGGCGAAGGCGACUUUCUGGCCAUAACCUGACGCUGAGGUACGAAAGCGUAGGUAGCAAACAGG
This 402-nucleotide ribosomal RNA is filed under the name bacterium. Its description in RNAcentral is "partial 16S ribosomal RNA". It matches the Rfam family "Bacterial small subunit ribosomal RNA", at positions 355 to 776 of the family's 1533-position model. The record is from RNAcentral.